AAAUACUUAAAACACUUUCGUUCUAAGCAUCCAGUCGUGACUUACAUUUAUAAUUGUGAAUUUAUAGGCAAUACCACCACUCGGGCAUAUUCUCGGGCACCUACAGGUCUGUCUUCCUUUUCCUCGUCCCUGAGCGAGCCGACGCCAAGAUGGUUUUACAGUACAUGGCUGUCAAGUAACUGUUUAGGAACGAGACCGUCACAGUAAGGACCAGAAAGUUCAUGACAAACCGGCUGCUUCAAAGGAAGCAAAUGGUUGUGGAUGUCCUGC
This is a long non-coding RNA of Sinocyclocheilus grahami, 270 nucleotides long. RefSeq lists it as uncharacterized. The record is from RefSeq and is a predicted model, not a curated record. The transcript is spliced from 5 exons. NCBI's taxonomy places the organism in Eukaryota, Metazoa, Chordata, Actinopteri, Cypriniformes, Cyprinidae.